Long non-coding RNA from Gopherus evgoodei (Goodes thornscrub tortoise), 103 nucleotides. RefSeq lists it as uncharacterized. NCBI's taxonomy places the organism in Eukaryota, Metazoa, Chordata, Testudines, Testudinidae. The transcript is spliced from 3 exons. The record is from RefSeq and is a predicted model, not a curated record.
AAACACCAGAUUGGCUGGAGGAGGAGGGAAGGACAACGCCACAUUACACUUCACAACUUAUUGAAUGCCUGCCUUCUGUUGCUUGGGCAGUCCUUUGAGGUGG